Prunus persica (peach) is the source of this 657-nucleotide long non-coding RNA. RefSeq lists it as uncharacterized. The transcript is spliced from 3 exons. NCBI's taxonomy places the organism in Eukaryota, Viridiplantae, Streptophyta, Magnoliopsida, Rosales, Rosaceae. The record is from RefSeq and is a predicted model, not a curated record.
CACCAUUUAUGAAAGGAUGAGUCACCUAGUCUAAAGUGGUGAGUCACCUAGCCUAAAGUUAUGACUCACCUAGUCUAAGGUAUCUUCCUUAAUGAAGCUGAAUUUUUUUUAGAGCUAAGAGAGAGAGAGAGAGAGAGACUAAGAAGAAGAAGAAGAAGAAGAAGAAGAAAGGAGAAGACUGGGAAAUAAGGGAGUGGAGGUUAUUGCUAUUACAUCCAUGAGAGAAUUAAGAAAGAAAUGUGAGAGGUAGAAAAGAAAAUGGUUUAGUGUUGAAGCAAUUGGAAGGAUGAAAGGCUUGAGUGGAAACAGAAGGAUUGGAAGAGUAAUUCGGUAAUCUAACUAGUCGAACGUGAGAUUGUGCAGGAUUCAAGACGAAGUUUGAGGAAGCGGGUUUCAACUAAACUACUAGGCUUUUGUUGUUGAUUUAAUUUAUAUUUGUAAGUAGUCAACCGUUUGAUAAAAAUCUUAGGGUAUAUUUAACUACGAACUACUACGACUCUGAUUUUUUGUUGUUAAGUAAAUUUGUAUUAUUUGUGGCUCUAUUUUUUAUCUUAUAUUGGUUGUAGGAUUUUAUUCUUAUGACUAUGAUAUCACUCACACCAUGAUUCGGGAAUAUUUCUUAUUUUUGAAUCGGGUUGUGACAUUGUUCCUCACUUA